RNAcentral lists this ribosomal RNA (209 nucleotides) under uncultured bacterium. RNAcentral's name for it is "partial 16S ribosomal RNA". It matches the Rfam family "Bacterial small subunit ribosomal RNA", at positions 524 to 732 of the family's 1533-position model. The record is from RNAcentral.
UACGAAGGGUGCAAGCGUUACUCGGAAUUACUGGGCGUAAAGCGUGCGCAGGCGGGUAUUUAAGACAGAUGUGAAAUCCCCGGGCUUAACCUGGGAAUGGCAUUUGAGACUGGGAGUCUAGAGUACUGUAGAGGGGGAUAGAAUUCCACGUGUAGCGGUGAAAUGCGUAGAGAUGUGGAGGAAUACCGAAGGCGAAGGCAGCCCCUUGG